This 398-nucleotide ribosomal RNA is filed under the name uncultured bacterium. RNAcentral's name for it is "partial 16S ribosomal RNA". It matches the Rfam family "Bacterial small subunit ribosomal RNA", at positions 523 to 918 of the family's 1533-position model. The record is from RNAcentral.
AUACGUAGGGUGCGAGCGUUGUCCGGAAUUACUGGGCGUAAAGAGCUCGUAGGUGGUUUGUCGCGUCGUCUGUGAAAUUCCGGGGCUUAACUCCGGGCGUGCAGGCGAUACGGGCAUAACUUGAGUACUGUAGGGGAGACUGGAAUUCCUGGUGUAGCGGUGAAAUGCGCAGAUAUCAGGAGGAACACCGGUGGCGAAGGCGGGUCUCUGGGCAGUAACUGACGCUGAGGAGCGAAAGCAUGGGUAGCGAACAGGAUUAGAUACCCUGGUGGUCCAUGCCGUAAACGGUGGGCGCUAGGUGUAGGGGUCUUCCACGACUUCUGUGCCGUAGCUAACGCAUUAAGCGCCCCGCCUGGGGAGUACGGCCGCAAGGCUAAAACUUAAAGGAAUUGACGGGG